GCCUAAUACAUGCAAGUCGAGCGAACUGAUUAGAAGCUUGCUUCUAUGACGUUAGCGGCGGACGGGUGAGUAACACGUGGGCAACCUGCCUGUAAGACUGGGAUAACUUCGGGAAACCGAAGCUAAUACCGGAUAGGAUCUUCUCCUUCAUGGGAGAUGAUUGAAAGAUGGUUUCGGCUAUCACUUACAGAUGGGCCCGCGGUGCAUUAGCUAGUUGGUGAGGUAACGGCUCACCAAGGCAACGAUGCAUAGCCGACCUGAGAGGGUGAUCGGCCACACUGGGACUGAGACACGGCCCAGACUCCUACGGGAGGCAGCAGUAGGGAAUCUUCCGCAAUGGACGAAAGUCUGACGGAGCAACGCCGCGUGAGUGAUGAAGGCUUUCGGGUCGUAAAACUCUGUUGUUAGGGAAGAACAAGUACGAGAGUAACUGCUCGUACCUUGACGGUACCUAACCAGAAAGCCACGGCUAACUACGUGCCAGCAGCCGCGGUAAUACGUAGGUGGCAAGCGUUAUCCGGAAUUAUUGGGCGUAAAGCGCGCGCAGGCGGUUUCUUAAGUCUGAUGUGAAAGCCCACGGCUCAACCGUGGAGGGUCAUUGGAAACUGGGGAACUUGAGUGCAGAAGAGAAAAGCGGAAUUCCACGUGUAGCGGUGAAAUGCGUAGAGAUGUGGAGGAACACCAGUGGCGAAGGCGGCUUUUUGGUCUGUAACUGACGCUGAGGCGCGAAAGCGUGGGGAGCAAACAGGAUUAG
This 754-nucleotide ribosomal RNA is filed under the name Priestia megaterium. RNAcentral's name for it is "bacterial SSU rRNA". It matches the Rfam family "Bacterial small subunit ribosomal RNA", at positions 46 to 781 of the family's 1533-position model. The record is from RNAcentral. Lineage: Bacteria; Bacillati; Bacillota; Bacilli; Caryophanales; Bacillaceae.